GAUGUGUACACACCAAAAUUGUGGUGUUAUACACAAUUACAAUUCCUUGAAGCCCACACACAAAUAAGGAGCGGACAGAGUAAUUUUGAGGAUGUAACCCCCCGCCCGAAAGCCCAGGAGGCACCUCGUCUGGUGUCUCAAAUUUUUCCCAGUUUAGCCCAGGAGCCCCAUCGAGUAUUUCUCAUUCUUCCCCACUAAGCCCACAAACGACUUUAAGUGAUUUUAUUGAUAUAAGCACUGAAGCGAGUAGCAGUGGCGCUAGCGAGCCACAGAAGAAACGGGCAAAGGACGGUGCACUGUACAGGUUACGGAAGGAUUUGGCCUCAUUCAAAGAUAGAAUCUGCGAAAAGCGCACGAAGCCAUUUUCUUGGCUGGGGAA
This is a long non-coding RNA of Rhagoletis zephyria (snowberry fruit fly), 379 nucleotides long. RefSeq lists it as uncharacterized. The record is from RefSeq and is a predicted model, not a curated record. NCBI's taxonomy places the organism in Eukaryota, Metazoa, Arthropoda, Insecta, Diptera, Tephritidae.